RNAcentral lists this ribosomal RNA (253 nucleotides) under uncultured bacterium. Its description in RNAcentral is "partial 16S ribosomal RNA". It matches the Rfam family "Bacterial small subunit ribosomal RNA", at positions 524 to 776 of the family's 1533-position model. The record is from RNAcentral.
UACGGAGGGAGCUAGCGUUGUUCGGAAUUACUGGGCGUAAAGCGCACGUAGGCGGCUUUGUAAGUUAGAGGUGAAAGCCCGGGGCUCAACUCCGGAACUGCCUUUAAGACUGCAUCGCUUGAAUCCAGGAGAGGUGAGUGGAAUUCCGAGUGUAGAGGUGAAAUUCGUAGAUAUUCGGAAGAACACCAGUGGCGAAGGCGGCUUACUGGACCGGUUCUGACGCUGAGGCGCGAAAGCGUGGGGAGCAAACGGG